GACGAACGCUGGCGGCGUGCCUAAUACAUGCAAGUCGAACGAGAGCGACCGGUGCUUGCACUGGUCAAUCUAGUGGCGAACGGGUGAGUAACACGUGGGUAACCUGCCCAUCAGAGGGGGAUAACAUCCGGAAACGGAUGCUAAGACCGCAUAGGUCUUCGAGCCGCAUGGCUUGAAGAGGAAAAGAGGCGCAAGCUUCUGCUGAUGGAUGGACCCGCGGUGCAUUAGCUAGUUGGUGAGGUAACGGCUCACCAAGGCCGUGAUGCAUAGCCGACCUGAGAGGGUGAUCGGCCACAUUGGGACUGAGACACGGCCCAAACUCCUACGGGAGGCAGCAGUAGGGAAUCUUCCGCAAUGGACGCAAGUCUGACGGAGCAACGCCGCGUGAGUGAAGAAGGUUUUCGGAUCGUAAAACUCUGUUGUUAGAGAAGAACAAGUGCUAGAGUAACUGUUAGCGCCUUGACGGUAUCUAACCAGAAAGCCACGGCUAACUACGUG
RNAcentral lists this ribosomal RNA (498 nucleotides) under uncultured bacterium. Its description in RNAcentral is "partial 16S ribosomal RNA". It matches the Rfam family "Bacterial small subunit ribosomal RNA", at positions 28 to 507 of the family's 1533-position model. The record is from RNAcentral.